GAUGAACGCUGGCGGCGUGCCUAAUACAUGCAAGUCGAGCGAACAGACGAUGAGUUUGCUCCUCUGUCGUUAGCGGCGGACGGGUGAGUAACUCGUGCAUUACCUACCUAUAUGACUGGGAUAACUUCGAGACACCGGAGCUAACUCCUGAUAUUAUUUUGAACCGCAUUGUUCAUUAGUUAAAUAUGGUUUUCGUGAGACUUCUAUAUGGAUCCGCGCCGCAUUAGCUAGUUGGUAGGGUAACGGCUUACCAAGGCAACGAUGCGUAGCCGAGCUGAGAGGGUGAUCGGCCACACUGGGACUGAGACACGGUCCAGACUCCUACGGGAGGCAGCAGUAGGGAAUCUUCCGCAAUGGGCGAAAGCUUGACGGAGCAACGCCGCGUGAGUGAUGAAGGUCUUCGGGUCGUAAAACUCUGUUGUUAGGGAAGAACAGAUGUGUAAGUAACUAUGCAAGUAUUGACGGUACCUAAUCAGAAAGCCACGGCUAACUACGUG
RNAcentral lists this ribosomal RNA (497 nucleotides) under uncultured bacterium. Its description in RNAcentral is "partial 16S ribosomal RNA". It matches the Rfam family "Bacterial small subunit ribosomal RNA", at positions 28 to 507 of the family's 1533-position model. The record is from RNAcentral.